This 520-nucleotide ribosomal RNA is filed under the name uncultured bacterium. RNAcentral's name for it is "bacterial SSU rRNA". It matches the Rfam family "Bacterial small subunit ribosomal RNA", at positions 772 to 1302 of the family's 1533-position model. The record is from RNAcentral.
ACUGAAUAGAUACCCUGGUAGUCCACGCCGUAAACGAUGGAUACUAGCUGUUCGGAGCAAAUCUGAGUGGCUAAAGCGAAAGUGAUAAGUAUCCCACCUGGGGAGUACGCACGCAAGUGUGAAACUCAAAGGAAUUGACGGGGGCCCGCACAAGCGGUGGAGCAUGUGGUUUAAUUCGAUGAUACGCGAGGAACCUUACCAGGGCUUAAAUGUAGAUUGACAGGACUGGAAACAGUUUUUCUCGGACAAUUUACAAGGUGCUGCAUGGUUGUCGUCAGCUCGUGCCGUGAGGUGUCAGGUUAAGUCCUAUAACGAGCGCAACCCUGUCGUUAGUUGCCAGCGAGUCAUGUCGGGAACUCUAACGAGACUGCCAGUGUAAACUGUGAGGAAGGUGGGGAUGACGUCAAAUCAUCACGGCCCUUACGUCCUGGGCCACACACGUGCUACAAUGGUAGGUACAGAGAGCAGCCACUGCGCGAGCAGGAGCGAAUCUACAAAACCUAUCUCAGUUCGGAUCGGA